UACGUAUGGGGCAAGCGUUGUCCGGAUUUAUUGGGCGUAAAGAGCGUGUAGGCGGCCAAGCAGGUCCGCUGUGAAAACUCGAGGCUCAACCUCGAGACGUCGGUGGAAACCGUUUGGCUAGAGUCCGGAAGAGGAGAGUGGAAUUCCCGGUGUAGCGGUGAAAUGCGCAGAUAUCGGGAAGAACACCCGUGGCGAAGGCGGCUCUCUGGGACGGUACUGACGCUGAGACGCGAAAGCGUGGGGAGCAAACAGG
RNAcentral lists this ribosomal RNA (253 nucleotides) under uncultured bacterium. RNAcentral describes it as "partial 16S ribosomal RNA". It matches the Rfam family "Bacterial small subunit ribosomal RNA", at positions 524 to 776 of the family's 1533-position model. The record is from RNAcentral.